Molecule: non-coding RNA, 270 nt
Organism: Vicia faba (fava bean)
Lineage: Eukaryota; Viridiplantae; Streptophyta; Magnoliopsida; Fabales; Fabaceae
Source: the annotation of a GenBank genome assembly
AUGGCAGAAAAUCCUCCCGAAACGGUGUCGUUUACUUCACAACCUUCUCCUUCUCACCCUUCUUCUUCCUCUUCGCUGAAAUCGCCACAAGAUCCACCUCAGGCCCGGAGCUUUCCAAUUUUCCGCAAUUUCCGGAUGGAUAUUAUCAAAUGUUUCCUGAUUCUGAUUGCGAAUUAUGCGAAAAAUAAUGAUCCGAACUUUGAGUUACUCUCUUCCACUUCUCAAGGUAAUAGAAUAAUGGUUUAUGUACUGUUGUUCUUUUAUUCUUAA